UACGUAGGGGGCUAGCGUUGUCCGGAAUCAUUGGGCGUAAAGAGCGCGUAGGCGGCCAGAUAAGUCCGGUGUGAAAGUCAAAGGCUCAACCUUUGAAUGCCGCUGGAAACUGUCUGGCUAGAGUCCGGGAGGGGCGAGUGGAAUUCCUGGUGUAGCGGUGAAAUGCGCAGAUAUCAGGAGGAACACCAGUGGCGAAGGCGGUGUUCUGGGCCGGAACUGACGCUGAGGAGCGAAAGCGUGGGUAGCAAACAGG
This 253-nucleotide ribosomal RNA is filed under the name uncultured bacterium. RNAcentral's name for it is "partial 16S ribosomal RNA". It matches the Rfam family "Bacterial small subunit ribosomal RNA", at positions 524 to 776 of the family's 1533-position model. The record is from RNAcentral.